This 496-nucleotide ribosomal RNA is filed under the name uncultured bacterium. RNAcentral describes it as "partial 16S ribosomal RNA". It matches the Rfam family "Bacterial small subunit ribosomal RNA", at positions 28 to 506 of the family's 1533-position model. The record is from RNAcentral.
GAUGAACGCUGGCGGCGUGCCUAAUACAUGCAAGUCGAGCGAACAGACGAGGAGCUUGCUCCUCUGACGUUAGCGGCGGACGGGUGAGUAACACGUGGAUAACCUACCUAUAAGACUGGGAUAACUUCGGGAAACCGGAGCUAAUACCGGAUAAUAUAUUGAACCGCAUGGUUCAAUAGUGAAAGACGGUUUUGCUGUCACUUAUAGAUGGAUCCGCGCCGCAUUAGCUAGUUUGUAAGGUAACGGCUUACCAAGGCAACGAUGCGUAGCCGACCUGAGAGGGUGAUCGGCCACACUGGAACUGAGACACGGUCCAGACUCCUACGGGAGGCAGCAGUAGGGAAUCUUCCGCAAUGGGCGAAAGCCUGACGGAGCAACGCCGCGUGAGUGAUGAAGGUCUUCGGAUCGUAAAACUCUGUUAUUAGGGAAGAACAAAUGUGUAAGUAACUAUGCACGUCUUGACGGUACCUAAUCAGAAAGCCACGGCUAACUACGU